Molecule: small nuclear RNA, 88 nt
Organism: Fukomys damarensis (Damara mole-rat)
Lineage: Eukaryota; Metazoa; Chordata; Mammalia; Rodentia; Bathyergidae
Gene: U4
Rfam family: U4 spliceosomal RNA
About the family: U4 small nuclear RNA (U4 snRNA) is a component of the major U2-dependent spliceosome.
Source: Ensembl
AGCUUUGUGCAGUGGCAGUAUCAUAGCCAGGGAGGUUUAUCUGAGGUGCAAUUAUUGCUAAUUGAAAACUUUUCAACUCACCAAUUAA